GAUUCGUCUGCAUUCCUCUCCAUCGCUGACCAGUAUUCCAUGGAGUGUGGCUGAACCACACUUCCUUUGUUAGUCAUCAACUGAAGGACGUGGGGAUUGUUUCCGGUUUGGGGCAACUGUGAAUGAAAUUGCUGUAAACCUUCACUUUUAGGCUUUUUUGUGAACAUAAGUUUUCAUUUUGCUGGGGUGAAUAAAGUCUUAGGAGUGCGACUGCUGGGUCAUAUGGACAAGGAAUUAUGGAAACUGCCAACUCAGAGUCCUCUGUACACAGAACCCAGGCUUGGUGGGGUCAACAAUGCAACACAGGGCAGCACGGCGCACAGGAGGAGCUGCCCAGCAAGCAGCAGCCCACAGUGCAGGAGCCUCCAGGCUUUCUCAUCACCCUGUCCAGGUAAGAAGGCCCAGGGGAAAAGGGAGGGGGAGGCUUCAGUUUUCCAUAGUUAAAUAUGUAGAUCCCUAAGACAUUACAAGAACAAAGAAGGGUAAGAAAAAUAGGCAUUUGCACGGGCGUGUUUUUACGUAAAGAAACACCAACAGGAUGGUGAAGCAGUGAUCAAAACUGGUCAUGAGAG
Molecule: long non-coding RNA, 572 nt
Filed under: Equus caballus (horse)
Lineage: Eukaryota; Metazoa; Chordata; Mammalia; Perissodactyla; Equidae
Description: lncRNA (ENSECAG00000055949.1)
Source: RNAcentral